GUGAGUAACACGUAUCCAACCUGCCCUUUACUCGGGGAUAGCCUUUCGAAAGAAAGAUUAAUACCCGAUAGCAUAAUGAUUCCGCAUGGUUUCAUUAUUAAAGGAUUCCGGUAAAGGAUGGGGAUGCGUUCCAUUAGGUUGUUGGUGAGGUAACGGCCCACCAAGCCUUCGAUGGAUAGGGGUUCUGAGAGGAAGGUCCCCCACAUUGGAACUGAGACACGGUCCAAACUCCUACGGGAGGCAGCAGUGAGGAAUAUUGGUCAAUGGGCGUUAGCCUGAACCAGCCAAGUAGCGUGAAGGAUGAAGGCUCUAUGGGUCGUAAACUUCUUUUAUAUAAGAAUAAAGUGCAGUAUGUAUACUGUUUUGUAUGUAUUAUAUGAAUAAGGAUCGGCUAACUCCGUGCCAGCAGCCGCGGUAAUACGGAGGAUCCGAGCGUUAUCCGGAUUUAUUGGGUUUAAAGGGAGCGUAGGUGGACUGGUAAGUCAGUUGUGAAAGUUUGCGGCUCAACCGUAAAAUUGCAGUUGAUACUGUCAGUCUUGAGUACAGUAGAGGUGGGCGGAAUUCGUGGUGUAGCGGUGAAAUGCUUAGAUAUCACGAAGAACUCCGAUUGCGAAGGCAGCUCACUGGACUGCAACUGAAACUGAUGCUCGAAAGUGUGG
Molecule: ribosomal RNA, 659 nt
Filed under: uncultured Bacteroidales bacterium
Lineage: Bacteria; Pseudomonadati; Bacteroidota; Bacteroidia; Bacteroidales
Description: bacterial SSU rRNA
Rfam family: Bacterial small subunit ribosomal RNA
Source: RNAcentral